This 746-nucleotide ribosomal RNA is filed under the name uncultured bacterium. Its description in RNAcentral is "bacterial SSU rRNA". It matches the Rfam family "Bacterial small subunit ribosomal RNA", at positions 8 to 796 of the family's 1533-position model. The record is from RNAcentral.
AGAGUUUGAUCAUGGCUCAGAGCGAACGCUGGCGGCAUGCUUAACACAUGCAAGUCGCACGGGCAGGGCAACCUGUCAGUGGCGGACGGGUGAGUAACGCGUAGGAAUCUAUCCUGGGAUGGGGGAUAACAGUGGGAAACUACUGCUAAUACCGCAUGAUACCUGAGGGUCAAAGGCGCAAGUCGUCUUGGGAGGAGCCUGCGUACGAUUAGCUAGUUGGUGGGGUAAAGGCCUACCAAGGCGACGAUCGUUAGCUGGUCUGAGAGGAUGAUCAGCCACACUGGGACUGAGACACGGCCCAGACUCCUACGGGAGGCAGCAGUGGGGAAUAUUGGACAAUGGGCGCAAGCCUGAUCCAGCAAUGCCGCGUGGGUGAAGAAGGUUUUCGGAUUGUAAAGCCCUUUUGGCGGGGACGAUGAUGACGGUACCCGCAGAAUAAGCUCCGGCUAACUUCGUGCCAGCAGCCGCGGUAAUACGAAGGGGGCUAGCGUUGCUCGGAAUGACUGGGCGUAAAGGGCGCGUAGGCUGAUGGCAUCGUCAGACGUGAAAUUCCUGGGCUUAACCUGGGGGCUGCGUUUGAUACAUGUCGUCUAGAGUGAGGAAGAGGGUUGUGGAAUUCCCAGUGUAGAGGUGAAAUUCGUAGAUAUUGGGAAGAACACCGGUGGCGAAGGCGGCAACCUGGUCCUUUACUGACGCUGAGGCGCGAAAGCGUGGGGAGCAAACAGGAUUAGAUACCCCGGUAGUCC